ACGCUCGACACCUACGGGAGGCGGCAGUGGGGAAUAUUGCACAAUGGGGGAAACCCUGAUGCAGCGACGCCGCGUGAAGGAAGAAGUAUCUCGGUAUGUAAACUUCUAUCAGCAGGGAAGAAAAAUGACGGUACCUGACUAAGAAGCCCCGGCUAACUACGUGCCAGCAGCCGCGGUAAUCUGAGCGGGCUGCAAGGC
Molecule: ribosomal RNA, 198 nt
Filed under: uncultured bacterium
Lineage: Bacteria
Description: partial 16S ribosomal RNA
Rfam family: Bacterial small subunit ribosomal RNA
Source: RNAcentral